UUUUGGCGAAUUGUUCACUCGGUUAUUUCCUCCCUCUGAUUGAUGUUGCGCUAUAUUCCUCGAGGUUCACGUGGGUAAAGGUCAGUUAUUAAGAAACUCAUAAAUAAUCAUAUAGAACCAAAUUAAUUCCGGCCCGAUGUAGACUUGUAUCAACAUUGUGAAUCAAGCCCUUAAAUGAUACAAACCUUUGCAUUUUAUUUUUAUUGUUGUCAUUCUUCUGACAGGUAUUGGGAUUAGUUGAUCGAAGUGUUACCUGGAAUGCCGAACCUACGACGCUCCCCGUGGAGAUCGAUGCUCAAAAAGCAUCGAUCUCCACAGGGGCCGGGGUCAAAAAUUCCGUUGUUAAGAGCGUGCGGCUUGUUAUGACACGAUCUUACGUUCUGUAAUCAACAUCACCCAAUCAGAAUCCGCUUUUUUUGCAUACGUCAUUCACCCCUUGCUGGCUGCCUGGGAUGUCGCCGACUUGUACUGGUUUUCGUUGGAUUGUACCGGUUGCAUUUUCUUAGCGAAUCUCCGUGAUUUUAGUGAAUUUUAUCGAAUUUUAGUGAUCAAGUCAAAAUGACCUCCAAGAAAUUUGUUGUUGUGGAGUGGCUCAACAACGCAAAGGAUCGUCGCGAGUUUACAGUUCUCAGGGGAAAUGAAGUUUUGCGCCAGGGUGGUUUGGUAUCUGUGGUAUUCAUUGCAUUGCAGCAGAUAACACAUCAAUACUUUACGAGGCAGAAGUGUUGCAAAACUUCGACUCACAGCGCAAGGCAAACAGUUUGAAAACGAGCUUCUUGAGGGAGGCAACGACAGCGUUGACCGAGGUUUACAAAGAUGUUCCUGCAGAGGAUCAGCCCAGUCCAGUGUCACAACAAAAGCAGAAAAUUAAAUAUCUGUCAAAGCCCCUGGAAGGGGUGAAGAGGCUCCUGUCAGACCUUAUUACCGAAGAAGAGCUCAUGCGGUGCACACUGAAGGGGAAGGGAAGGUACAGAGGGAUGCCCUGGACCAGCAACAAGAUGCAGAUGUUUUAUGUUGCAAUGAGGGGAAAUUACGGAAUGACUAAUGAGAAAAUGGACCAGCUGAUUAGAAAUCAGCAAAAAUCCUUAAAGACAAAACCCAAAAAGUCUUCAGUAAAGCUAAGUGAAAUGUCCAUUGUUGGUAUAAAAUGUUUGCUUUAGUAGGUUUUUUAAUCAUAGAGAUAUUUUAGCUUGCCUUGCACUUUUUGUUGUAUACCAACUUGUCGAAUUUGGUUUUGUCUUGUAACGAUUUUUGCUGAUUUCUAUAACGUUAUAGAAGUCACUGUUCACGUUGUAUCCGAAAAUUAUAAAGUUGAUUAUCAAAUUUUGAGAUAAUUGUAAAUUUGUUCUGUAUUCUAAAAAUAAAAUUAUUUGCUGGAAAAUAUUGCUAGCUAUUUGUAAUAAAUUACCGGAUAUCCAA
This is a long non-coding RNA of Nematostella vectensis (starlet sea anemone), 1419 nucleotides long. RefSeq lists it as uncharacterized. The transcript is spliced from 5 exons. The record is from RefSeq and is a predicted model, not a curated record. NCBI's taxonomy places the organism in Eukaryota, Metazoa, Cnidaria, Anthozoa, Actiniaria, Edwardsiidae.